RNAcentral lists this ribosomal RNA (492 nucleotides) under uncultured bacterium. RNAcentral's name for it is "partial 16S ribosomal RNA". It matches the Rfam family "Bacterial small subunit ribosomal RNA", at positions 29 to 507 of the family's 1533-position model. The record is from RNAcentral.
AGUGAACGCUGGCGGUAGGCCUAACACAUGCAAGUCGAACGGCAGCACAGUAAGAGCUUGCUCUUACGGGUGGCGAGUGGCGGACGGGUGAGGAAUACAUCGGAAUCUACUUUUUCGUGGGGGAUAACGUAGGGAAACUUACUCUAAUACCGCAUACGACCUACGGGGGAAAGCAGGGGAUCUUCGGACCUUGCGCGAUUGAAUGAGCCGAUGUCGGAUUAGCUAGUUGGCGGGGUAAAGGCCCACCAAGGCGACGAUCCGUAGCUGGUCUGAGAGGAUGAUCAGCCACACUGGAACUGAGACACGGUCCAGACUCCUACGGGAGGCCGCAGUGGGGAAUAUUGGACAAUGGGCGCAAGCCUGAUCCAGCCAUACCGCGUGGGUGAAGAAGGCCUUCGGGUUGUAAAGCCCUUUUGUUGGGAAAGAAAAGCAGCAGGUUAAUACCACGCUGUUCUGACGGUACCCAAAGAAUAAGCACCGGCUAACUUCGUG